AAUCAUCAAACAGGAUCAACGAAGAAUUGCUAUACAUUAGGGUUCAUUUGAAUAUCUAUCUUUUUUUUUUUUUUUUUGCUGCAAAAAGCUUUAUUGUUUCCAUUUGGUCCACGUCUUGGGAGAGGGCCCCGGGAUGGUUAAAAAGCUGCCUAGUGGCUGCAGAGCGGGGCUUCAGGCAGAAGCUCUGAUGCCAGAGGGGCUCCUUAGAGGCCGCUGGACUUCAGCGACUGCUGUUCGUGCUCGAGGGUGAGCCUUUCAAAGAGAUACUCGCCCAGCCCAGCCUGCGGACCAGCCAGCCUGCGGAGGUUGGUCAGGUGGUCGCCCAUCUUCUUGAUGAGUUUCACCUCCCCAUCUAGGAAGUGGCUCUCCAGGAAGUCGCAGAGGUGGGGGUCUGCGCGGGCACAACCCAGGGCAUGCAGAUCCAGAAGGGCCUGAUUCAGGUUCUUCUCCAUGUUAAUGGCGGCUUCCAUAGCGUCCUGGGUUUUACCCCACUCAUCUUGAGAUGGCUUCUGCACGUCCUGGAAGAGCCACAUCGUCGCGGUCGAAAUAGAAGCCCAGAGAGAGGUAGGUGUAGGAGGCCCGCAGAUGCAUGCUGACCAGGCGGUUGACGGCAGCCUCCACCUCUGUGGAAUAAUUCUGACGAAUCUGGGAGCUCAUGGUUGAUCGGUAAUAAGGAGUUCGGCUCAGAAAAUGGUGUUGGCUGGUCCCGGUGACCGAGGAUAGCUGAGUGGCUGACUCGGAAGGUUGGAGGGUGGUCGGAGGCUGGAGGAAAGGGCGACCCUGGGUCUGUUCCGUCCAAACACUGUUGAAGCAAGAGACAGAUCCAGGGAACCGCCGAGCGCAAUGCCCGAGUAUCUAUCUUGAUGAACUUGGACAAGGAUGGAAUGUAGCUUUCAUUUCAUGUGCUAACUCCAGAUCGUUGGUAAUGGAUCCCAGAAUGUUCAGAUGACAGUGUUUCUGGGCUACCCCUUAUCUUAAAGGGAAGAGUACAGAUAAAAAGAAUGAGUGCUGUAACCAAUUAGAAAUGCCUACUACAGGCUCAUAUCUGCUUACU
This 1054-nucleotide long non-coding RNA is filed under the name Monodon monoceros (narwhal). RNAcentral describes it as "lncRNA (ENSMMNG00015003908.1)". Lineage: Eukaryota; Metazoa; Chordata; Mammalia; Artiodactyla; Monodontidae. The record is from RNAcentral.